GGAAAGACACAUGUUAUUGAGAUUGAAAUUCACAGUUGAAAUUGAAUAUAUAUAGAAAAUAGAAUAGUAUGAGAUAAUAAAAAUCAGUUCUCAAGAAACUAAUAGAAAUUAGCUCUCAAGAAAUGAAAUCGAAAUUCAAAUAUAAAUAAUAGCAACCUUCGAGAUUCUUCAAGAAGAUAGAGCAUUCGUGCUGAUAACGUGUUAUAAAACUAAACUCAAAGAAAGACAAGAACAAGAGAAAUAUGGAGAGGGAGAGAGUUUCUUAUUGAGGUGUAUGGAAUGCUACAAAUGAGAGCUCUAUUUAUAGGCUCAUAGAUCAUAACCUAUACUCUCUAAUAUUAUUACACAUAAAGGUGGGAAAAUAAAUACAAU
RNAcentral lists this long non-coding RNA (372 nucleotides) under Linum usitatissimum (flax). RNAcentral's name for it is "long non-coding RNA (LUSI_LNC007077)". The record is from RNAcentral. Lineage: Eukaryota; Viridiplantae; Streptophyta; Magnoliopsida; Malpighiales; Linaceae.